UGGGUUUGACAUACACCGGAUUGCCUCAGAGAUGGGGUUUUCUUCGGACUGGUGUACAGGUGGUGCAUGGCUGUCGUCAGCUCGUGUCGUGAGAUGUUGGGUUAAGUCCCGCAACGAGCGCAACCCUUGUCCUGUGUUGCCAGCAUUGGGUUGGGGACUCGCAGGAGACUGCCGGGGUAACUCGGAGGAAGGUGGGGAUGACGUCAAGUCAUCAUGCCCCUUAUGCCCAGGGCUUCACA
This 239-nucleotide ribosomal RNA is filed under the name uncultured bacterium. RNAcentral describes it as "partial 16S ribosomal RNA". It matches the Rfam family "Bacterial small subunit ribosomal RNA", at positions 976 to 1220 of the family's 1533-position model. The record is from RNAcentral.